AACGAACGCUGGCGGCAUGCCUAACACAUGCAAGUCGAACGAGACCUUCGGGUCUAGUGGCGCACGGGUGCGUAACGCGUGGGAACCUGCCUUUAGGUUCGGAAUAACAGUGAGAAAUUACUGCUAAUACCGGAUGAUGUCUUCGGGCCAAAGAUUUAUCGCCUUUAGAUGGGCCCGCGUUGGAUUAGCUAGUUGGUGGGGUAAAGGCCUACCAAGGCGACGAUCCAUAGCUGGUCUGAGAGGAUGAUCAGCCACACUGGAACUGAGACACGGUCCAGACUCCUACGGGAGGCAGCAGUGGGGAAUUUUGGACAAUGGGCGCAAGCCUGAUCUAGCCAUGCCGCGUGAGCGAUGAAGGCCUUAGGGUGUAAAGCUCUUUCAGUGGGGAAGAUAAUGACUGUACCCACAGAAGAAGCCCCGGCUAACUCCGUG
This 432-nucleotide ribosomal RNA is filed under the name uncultured bacterium. RNAcentral describes it as "bacterial SSU rRNA". It matches the Rfam family "Bacterial small subunit ribosomal RNA", at positions 29 to 507 of the family's 1533-position model. The record is from RNAcentral.